GUUAAAUUGUCCCCAGCCACCUCUGAAGCUGAGCCUGCGGAUGAAUCCCACAGGGGAGAUGGUUAAAAAUAGACCUAGCCUUUCCCCUGGAUAACCAGCAGCCCCCGAGGCAGCAGCAGACCAGAGCCCGGCCCUGACUGAAGAUCACACGGUCCGAGCCUCUGGCAGGCUCAAGAUAACAUCUUGACCUAAGGUAUCUUUCAGUUCCUGAGCAUCAAGGUGGAACAACCCCCGGCUACUUUCCGAGGAAACCAGACAGAGGGACGCCAGAGCAGACCUCAGAGCCGUGCUCCGGACUGAAGAAAUGAUUUACUACCCUCUCAACCUCCGACCAAUCAGCUCCCAGCACGACCCUCACCCCCUCACCCACGGUGUCUUGAGGUUUUGCCCUGAACAGCCUGUAUGUGGCCUCCGCGCCAUGGAGUUCAGGCUCUUGAGUAUUCGCUUCCCAUUCGUAAUAAAAUAGCCAAUCUUUCUG
Eptesicus fuscus (big brown bat) is the source of this 478-nucleotide long non-coding RNA. RefSeq lists it as uncharacterized. The record is from RefSeq and is a predicted model, not a curated record. The transcript is spliced from 2 exons. Lineage: Eukaryota; Metazoa; Chordata; Mammalia; Chiroptera; Vespertilionidae.